RNAcentral lists this ribosomal RNA (1553 nucleotides) under Shigella sonnei. RNAcentral describes it as "bacterial SSU rRNA". It matches the Rfam family "Bacterial small subunit ribosomal RNA". Lineage: Bacteria; Pseudomonadati; Pseudomonadota; Gammaproteobacteria; Enterobacterales; Enterobacteriaceae. The record is from RNAcentral.
AAAUUGAAGAGUUUGAUCAUGGCUCAGAUUGAACGCUGGCGGCAGGCCUAACACAUGCAAGUCGAACGGUAACAGGAAACAGCUUGCUGUUUCGCUGACGAGUGGCGGACGGGUGAGUAAUGUCUGGGAAACUGCCUGAUGGAGGGGGAUAACUACUGGAAACGGUAGCUAAUACCGCAUAACGUCGCAAGACCAAAGAGGGGGACCUUCGGGCCUCUUGCCAUCGGAUGUGCCAGAUGGGAUUAGCUAGUAGGUGGGGUAACGGCUCACCUAGGCGACGAUCCCUAGCUGGUCUGAGAGGAUGACCAGCCACACUGGAACUGAGACACGGUCCAGACUCCUACGGGAGGCAGCAGUGGGGAAUAUUGCACAAUGGGCGCAAGCCUGAUGCAGCCAUGCCGCGUGUAUGAAGAAGGCCUUCGGGUUGUAAAGUACUUUCAGCGGGGAGGAAGGGAGUAAAGUUAAUACCUUUGCUCAUUGACGUUACCCGCAGAAGAAGCACCGGCUAACUCCGUGCCAGCAGCCGCGGUAAUACGGAGGGUGCAAGCGUUAAUCGGAAUUACUGGGCGUAAAGCGCACGCAGGCGGUUUGUUAAGUCAGAUGUGAAAUCCCCGGGCUCAACCUGGGAACUGCAUCUGAUACUGGCAAGCUUGAGUCUCGUAGAGGGGGGUAGAAUUCCAGGUGUAGCGGUGAAAUGCGUAGAGAUCUGGAGGAAUACCGGUGGCGAAGGCGGCCCCCUGGACGAAGACUGACGCUCAGGUGCGAAAGCGUGGGGAGCAAACAGGAUUAGAUACCCUGGUAGUCCACGCCGUAAACGAUGUCGACUUGGAGGUUGUGCCCUUGAGGCGUGGCUUCCGGAGCUAACGCGUUAAGUCGACCGCCUGGGGAGUACGGCCGCAAGGUUAAAACUCAAAUGAAUUGACGGGGGCCCGCACAAGCGGUGGAGCAUGUGGUUUAAUUCGAUGCAACGCGAAGAACCUUACCUGGUCUUGACAUCCACGGAAGUUUUCAGAGAUGAGAAUGUGCCUUCGGGAACCGUGAGACAGGUGCUGCAUGGCUGUCGUCAGCUCGUGUUGUGAAAUGUUGGGUUAAGUCCCGCAACGAGCGCAACCCUUAUCCUUUGUUGCCAGCGGUCCGGCCGGGAACUCAAAGGAGACUGCCAGUGAUAAACUGGAGGAAGGUGGGGAUGACGUCAAGUCAUCAUGGCCCUUACGACCAGGGCUACACACGUGCUACAAUGGCGCAUACAAAGAGAAGCGACCUCGCGAGAGCAAGCGGACCUCAUAAAGUGCGUCGUAGUCCGGAUUGGAGUCUGCAACUCGACUCCAUGAAGUCGGAAUCGCUAGUAAUCGUGGAUCAGAAUGCCACGGUGAAUACGUUCCCGGGCCUUGUACACACCGCCCGUCACACCAUGGGAGUGGGUUGCAAAAGAAGUAGGUAGCUUAACCUUCGGGAGGGCGCUUACCACUUUGUGAUUCAUGACUGGGGUGAAGUCGUAACAAGGUAACCGUAGGGGAACCUGCGGUUGGAUCACCUCCUUACCUUAAAGAAGC